CAGGACCACAUGUAUUUCUGAUGUGCUGGAAAAAGGCGUUUGAACCAACUGGCGGAUUAUAAAACCCACUAGAAAGUGACGCUCACUUCUGCUUUCCCAGUUGCCUAGCAAAAGGAACAUCAUCACCCUUCAUUUAACCUCGCAGCUCCGUGGUGCAGCAGACAAAUUAGAAUAGCAUCUAUCUUAAAGAUGAGUGUAUCGAGGAAUUAACGCGCAGUUGGGAGGAGUUUACAGCCAAACCUCCUUCAAGGGACGGCGAUUGUAACGUGAGAAGGUUUUACCAAGAAUUCUAUCUGAGGACUAAUAGGCGCUUGCAUCAUUUCUGUCCUAUAUGCUAUAUUAAGGAGCAACUACAUCAUCAGCAAAUAGUUUUGUUGUGCUGAUACUGCGCACAAAGUCAAACGCAAAGGCAUAAGCUGAAAACUGCAAAGAAGGAUUUGGUAUCA
This is a long non-coding RNA of Gavia stellata (red-throated loon), 446 nucleotides long. RefSeq lists it as uncharacterized. The transcript is spliced from 5 exons. The record is from RefSeq and is a predicted model, not a curated record. Lineage: Eukaryota; Metazoa; Chordata; Aves; Gaviiformes; Gaviidae.